RNAcentral lists this long non-coding RNA (1653 nucleotides) under Gossypium barbadense (sea-island cotton). RNAcentral's name for it is "long non-coding RNA (GBAR_LNC013819)". The record is from RNAcentral. Lineage: Eukaryota; Viridiplantae; Streptophyta; Magnoliopsida; Malvales; Malvaceae.
UAUCAACAAGUUUUACUAUAUUGCGAAGUCAUACUUAACAUAGGUUUCAAACUAUAUCAUUAUACAAAGUUAACCAAAACAAACACCUAUGUACAUGUCACACAUAACCAAGCCUUAAAACGAUCAAAAGACUACCGAGUCAAUAGAUGUACAGUGUGAGCUUAUCAACGAUACGAUAGACAUGUUCCACAAGUCAACAAUCUACAAGGAAAAGGGAGACAACAAAGUAAGCAUAUUGAAUGCUUAGUAAGUCUAUAUGAAAUUUACUUAACUUACCUUGACAUUUCAACAAUUAAGAAAUCAAAAUACAUUGGAAUUAAGCAUGAUAGUCCUUUGACAUCCUUAUACAUUCAUAUGCAUUUCAACAAAUACAUCUAAUAGGUUAGUUCAUCUACAUGUUAUGAACUUAUAACACAUUCAUUUACAUAUGUAAAAAUUCAUCUUAUAUAAUAAACUAUCUAAAUCAUAUUCAAUUUGCAAACUUAUGUAAUUCAAUUCAUGUUCAAUCAUUUCAACCGUUUCAUUUCCUUUUAGUUACCAUUUACUCGCCCAGGAGAACCUUGGUAAACUGAAGUCGGAUACACAGGACUAUAGUGCUCACACAAGUUGACAGUAAUCAAGGUUUCUCACACAAGCUGACAUAUUUGAAUCGAGAAUCCGUAACAAAUGUUGGAUCUCAAAUAACCAUGUAAAUCCUUGAUUGUUUUUAUAUUUGAUCUUAAUGGCAUGCCAUACGUAUCUUAAUCCUAUACUAAGUUCACAUAGGCAUUAUUAUUGUAUUCGUCUCAAUUCAAUCAUUGUAACAAUAUAUACAUAUUAUAUCAAUAAUGUAAAUAUUUCAUAUCCAUUCAGUACCUUGUACCUGUUCGUAAUUGCCAUAAAAUUCAUACCUUACAAUUUAAUCCAUUUGAUGUCAAAAGUCAUUACAUUCACAUCAAUACAAACUAAUACGUAAAAUAACACAAUACAAGAAUAACAUGAAUUAACAUAGUAAGUUCCAUAUAAACAUACCUGGUAAAACAACAAACAAGCAAUCUUUAAAGACUAAUCAACAAAUUUUUCUUUUCCCUAAUUAUCAUCGGUUUGAUUUAAUUCUCGAUCUAUAUAAUAAUUCAAUUCAAUUUAUCAAUUCCAAACAUCUUAUAUCAUCCUAUUAUAUGCAUAUAUCAAUUCAAUUUCAUUAUUUGAGUUCUCCCUAAAAUUUUACAUUUUAUUCAAUUUAGUCCCUAAAACCAAAAUUGCCAUAACUUUCAAAUUUGAGCUUCAAUUUUGAAACAAAUCUCAACUAAAUACUUAUAGGACCCUAUAAUAUCAACAAUGAUAGGAAGUUUUCAUCAAUUUUGAAAUUUGUACACUUUAGUCCUUAUGUUCAAAACUAACAAUUUUCACUUUACAGUCUAGUCUUUUUUUUCUUUUUUCUUUUUUACUUCUAAGCUUGAAAUCUAACAAUUUAGUACAAAUUUCUUCAAGCAUCAUAAAUGGAAAAUUUUAGAAACUUUAACAGUUUUGCAAAUUGGUACAUUGGUUAGCUAAAUCAAGCUCCCAUGACCUAAAAAAUAUAAAAAUUAUAAGAAAAAGGACUUGAGAUCAUACCAAAUUGAGGGACCAAUUGUAUGAAAGCUUUAAACCCUAUUUUUCCUCUUUAGUUUCGAG